Molecule: small RNA, 539 nt
Filed under: Pongo abelii (Sumatran orangutan)
Lineage: Eukaryota; Metazoa; Chordata; Mammalia; Primates; Hominidae
Description: processed transcript
Source: RNAcentral
GUUUGAUAAAACAUGGUGGAGACAGCGGCUGAAAUGGAAGCAUAUGUUCUAGAAGACAUUCUUGAGGUGGAGUCCUUCAUUUUGGAUCAGGAUGAUUUGGAAAAUCCAAUGCUGGAAACAGCUUCCAAGUUGCUCUUAUCAGGUACUGCUGAUGGUGCAGACCUCAGGACAGUAGAUCCAGAAACACAGGCUAGACUGGAAGCUUUACUAGAAGCUGCAGCAACAUGGAUGCAGCUGGAGCCCAUUAUCCUAAGUGAAUUAAAGCAGGAACAAAAAACCAAAUGCCACGUUAUUACUUAUAAGUGGGAGCUGAACAUUGAGUACACAUGGACAUUAAGAAGGGAACAAUAGGCACCAGGGCCUACUUGAGAAUGGGAGGAAGGAAUAGGAAAAUUGUCCACGGCUGAUGGUAAAGCCUUUGCAGAUCCUGAAGUACUCCGGAGGUUGACAUCGUCUGUUAGUUGUGCGUUGGAUGAAGCUGCUGCUGCACUUACCCGUAUGAGAGCUGAAAGCACAGCAAAUGCAGGGCAGUCGGACAA